Molecule: long non-coding RNA, 548 nt
Filed under: Capsella rubella
Lineage: Eukaryota; Viridiplantae; Streptophyta; Magnoliopsida; Brassicales; Brassicaceae
Description: long non-coding RNA (CRUB_LNC001161)
Source: RNAcentral
CAUAAUUGAGUACAAUUAUAAAAGUUAUAAUCAUUGUUUUUCACACAGCCCCACAAAUGUAAGAACUUUUUGUUACAUUCAACGUUGUAAUUGCUAUAUUUCUAAUAUGGGUGAAGAAUCAGUGAAUGGUACAUGAGGUAAGAAAUAAAGGAAAAAAAAAAAACCAAUAUUGUGAGAGCACAAAAGGACAAAGGUAUCAACAAUGGAACCCAUCAAAGGACCUAACCAAUUAUUUCCAUAAAUCUCUGGUCCAUUAAACCAAAAAGCAAAACAAGUGUAUGGUUCUGUACCAAUAGAUUCCCUUUUUAUUCAUAUUUUUAGUUGUUUUAUUUAUUUAUAUUUUUUUAAUAAGUAAUUGAUGUUUCCUACCAACUUGAAAGAAAAAGCCUAGACAAGUGUAUGGUUUAUUAAAACCAAAAAAAAAAAAAAAAAGUGUCUGGUUUAUGUAGUACUUUAGUUUUCACUUUCUAUCAUUUUAAGAGAAUUCCACUUAACGUAUACAGUUCCCUGACAUAAUGUAAGGUAUUAACAUUUUAGUACUCUGAAAC